UUAAGCGACUAAGCGUACACGGUGGAUGCCCUGGCAGUCAGAGGCGAUGAAGGACGUGCUAAUCUGCGAUAAGCGUCGGUAAGGUGAUAUGAACCGUUAUAACCGGCGAUUUCCGAAUGGGGAAACCCAGUGUGAUUCGUCACACUAUCAUUAACUGAAUCCAUAGGUUAAUGAGGCGAACCGGGGGAACUGAAACAUCUAAGUACCCCGAGGAAAAGAAAUCAACCGAGAUUCCCCCAGUAGCGGCGAGCGAACGGGGAGCAGCCCAGAGCCUGAAUCAGUGUGUGUGUUAGUGGAAGCGUCUGGAAAGGCGCGCGAUACAGGGUGACAGCCCCGUACACAAAAAUGCACAUGCUGUGAGCUCGAUGAGUAGGGCGGGACACGUGGUAUCCUGUCUGAAUAUGGGGGGACCAUCCUCCAAGGCUAAAUACUCCUGACUGACCGAUAGUGAACCAGUACCGUGAGGGAAAGGCGAAAAGAACCCCGGCGAGGGGAGUGAAAAAGAACCUGAAACCGUGUACGUACAAGCAGUGGGAGCACAGAGCAAUCUGUGUGACUGCGUACCUUUUGUAUAAUGGGUCAGCGACUUAUAUUCUGUAGCAAGGUUAACCGAAUAGGGGAGCCGAAGGGAAACCGAGUCUUAACUGGGCGUUAAGUUGCAGGGUAUAGACCCGAAACCCGGUGAUCUAGCCAUGGGCAGGUUGAAGGUUGGGUAACACUAACUGGAGGACCGAACCGACUAAUGUUGAAAAAUUAGCGGAUGACUUGUGGCUGGGGGUGAAAGGCCAAUCAAACCGGGAGAUAGCUGGUUCUCCCCGAAAGCUAUUUAGGUAGCGCCUCGUGAAUUCAUCUCCGGGGGUAGAGCACUGUUUCGGCAAGGGGGUCAUCCCGACUUACCAACCCGAUGCAAACUGCGAAUACCGGAGAAUGUUAUCACGGGAGACACACGGCGGGUGCUAACGUCCGUCGUGAAGAGGGAAACAACCCAGACCGCCAGCUAAGGUCCCAAAGUCAUGGUUAAGUGGGAAACGAUGUGGGAAGGCCCAGACAGCCAGGAUGUUGGCUUAGAAGCAGCCAUCAUUUAAAGAAAGCGUAAUAGCUCACUGGUCGAGUCGGCCUGCGCGGAAGAUGUAACGGGGCUAAACCAUGCACCGAAGCUGCGGCAGCGACGCUUAUGCGUUGUUGGGUAGGGGAGCGUUCUGUAAGCCUGUGAAGGUGUGCUGUGAGGCAUGCUGGAGGUAUCAGAAGUGCGAAUGCUGACAUAAGUAACGAUAAAGCGGGUGAAAAGCCCGCUCGCCGGAAGACCAAGGGUUCCUGUCCAACGUUAAUCGGGGCAGGGUGAGUCGACCCCUAAGGCGAGGCCGAAAGGCGUAGUCGAUGGGAAACAGGUUAAUAUUCCUGUACUUGGUGUUACUGCGAAGGGGGGACGGAGAAGGCUAUGUUGGCCGGGCGACGGUUGUCCCGGUUUAAGCGUGUAGGCUGGUUUUCCAGGCAAAUCCGGAAAAUCAAGGCUGAGGCGUGAUGACGAGGCACUACGGUGCUGAAGCAACAAAUGCCCUGCUUCCAGGAAAAGCCUCUAAGCAUCAGGUAACAUCAAAUCGUACCCCAAACCGACACAGGUGGUCAGGUAGAGAAUACCAAGGCGCUUGAGAGAACUCGGGUGAAGGAACUAGGCAAAAUGGUGCCGUAACUUCGGGAGAAGGCACGCUGAUAUGUAGGUGAAGUCCCUCGCGGAUGGAGCUGAAAUCAGUCGAAGAUACCAGCUGGCUGCAACUGUUUAUUAAAAACACAGCACUGUGCAAACACGAAAGUGGACGUAUACGGUGUGACGCCUGCCCGGUGCCGGAAGGUUAAUUGAUGGGGUCAGCGCAAGCGAAGCUCUUGAUCGAAGCCCCGGUAAACGGCGGCCGUAACUAUAACGGUCCUAAGGUAGCGAAAUUCCUUGUCGGGUAAGUUCCGACCUGCACGAAUGGCGUAAUGAUGGCCAGGCUGUCUCCACCCGAGACUCAGUGAAAUUGAACUCGCUGUGAAGAUGCAGUGUACCCGCGGCAAGACGGAAAGACCCCGUGAACCUUUACUAUAGCUUGACACUGAACAUUGAGCCUUGAUGUGUAGGAUAGGUGGGAGGCUUUGAAGUGUGGACGCCAGUCUGCAUGGAGCCGACCUUGAAAUACCACCCUUUAAUGUUUGAUGUUCUAACGU
Molecule: ribosomal RNA, 2202 nt
Filed under: Escherichia coli
Lineage: Bacteria; Pseudomonadati; Pseudomonadota; Gammaproteobacteria; Enterobacterales; Enterobacteriaceae
Description: bacterial LSU rRNA
Rfam family: Bacterial large subunit ribosomal RNA
Source: RNAcentral